UGGCUGUUCGCCAUUUAAAGUGGUACGCGAGCUGGGUUUAGAACGUCGUGAGACAGUUCGGUCCCUAUCUGCCGUGGGCGCUGGAGAACUGAGGGGGGCUGCUCCUAGUACGAGAGGACCGGAGUGGCCGCGAAGCAGCGCGGGUAAAUUUUCCGGCCAGUGCAGAUCGACCUUAUGACAACUGACGUUGGCGAGGCGCUGUUUUUCCAGACGUUCGACGCGUCGCGCCGCCGCCCGCACCUGAUGCCCUUGCUG
Molecule: ribosomal RNA, 255 nt
Filed under: Salmonella enterica subsp. enterica serovar Anatum
Lineage: Bacteria; Pseudomonadati; Pseudomonadota; Gammaproteobacteria; Enterobacterales; Enterobacteriaceae
Description: partial 23S ribosomal RNA
Rfam family: Bacterial large subunit ribosomal RNA
Source: RNAcentral